AGAGUUUGAUCCUGGCUCAGAACGUACGCUGGCGGCACGCCUAACACAUGCAAGUCGAACGCAGUAGCAAUACUGAGUGGCGAACGGGUGAGUAUAAUGUGGGUAUCUGCCUUUUGGUUUGGAAUAACACGAGGAAACUUGUGCUAAUACCGGAUAAGCCUUCACAGGGAAAGUUUUAUACGCCAAAAGAUGAGCCCGCACUUGAUUAGCUAGUUGGUAGGGUAAUGGCUUACCAAGGCUACGAUCAAUAGCUGAUCUGAGAGGAUGAUCAGCCACAUUGGGACUGAGACACGGCCCAAACUCCUACGGGAGGCAGCAGUGGGGAAUCUUGCACAAUGGAGGAAACUCUGAUGCAGCGAUGCCGCGUGAGUGAAGAAGGCCUUUGGGUUGUAAAGCUCUUUCGUCGGGGAAGAAAAUGACUGUACCCGAAUAAGAAGGUCCGGCUAACUUCGUGCCAGCAGCCGCGGUAAUACGAAGGGACCUAGCGUAGUUCGGAAUUACUGGGCUUAAAGAGUUCGUAGGUGGUUAAAAAAGUUGGUGGUGAAAGCCCAGAGCUUAACUCUGGAACUGCCAUCAAAACUUUUUAGCUAGAGUUUGAUAGAGGAAAGCAGAAUUUCUAGUGUAGAGGUGAAAUUCGUAGAUAUUAGAAAGAAUACCGAUUGCGAAGGCAGCUUUCUGGAUCAUUACUGACACUGAGGAACGAAAGCAUGGGUAGCGAAGAGGAUUAGAUACCCUCGUAGUCCAUGCCGUAAACGAUGUGUGUUAGACGUUGGAAAUUUAUUUUCAGUGUCGCAGCGAAAGCGAUAAACACACCGCCUGGGGAGUACGACCGCAAGGUUAAAACUCAAAUGAAUUGACGGGGACCCGCACAAGUAGUGGAGCAUGUGGUUUAAUUCGAAGAUACGCGCAGAACCUUACCAACACUUGACAUGUUCGUCGCGACUCUAAGAGAUUAGAGUUUUCGGUUCGGCCGGACGAAACACAGGUGCUGCAUGGCUGUCGUCAGCUCGUGUCGUGAGAUGUUGGGUUAAGUCCCGCAACGAGCGCAACCCUUACUUUUAGUUGCCAUCAUUUAGUUGGGCACUCUGAAAGAACUGCCAGUGAUAAGCUGGAGGAAGGUGGGGAUGACGUCAAGUCCUCAUGGCCCUUAUGUGUUGGGCUACACACGUGCUACAAUGGUAUCUACAACAGGAAGCAAGAUGGCAACGUUAAGCAAAUCCCAAAAAGAUACCUCAGUUCGGAUUGCACUCUGCAACUCGAGUGCAUGAAGCUGGAAUUACUAGUAAUCGUGGAUCAGCGUGCCACGGUGAAUACGUUCCCGGGUCUUGUACACACCGCCCGUCACACCAUGGGAGUUGGUUCUACCUUAAGGCAAAGUUUAAAACCUUUGACCACGGUAUAGUCAGCGACUGGGGUGAAGUCGUAACAAGGUAACC
Molecule: ribosomal RNA, 1436 nt
Filed under: uncultured bacterium
Lineage: Bacteria
Description: bacterial SSU rRNA
Rfam family: Bacterial small subunit ribosomal RNA
Source: RNAcentral